GGGCCCGCACAAGCGGCGGAGCAUGCGGAUUAAUUCGAUGCAACGCGAAGAACCUUACCAAGGCUUGACAUAUAGAGGAAAAGUGCAGAAAUGCACUCCCCGCAAGGUCUCUAUACAGGUGGUGCAUGGUUGUCGUCAGCUCGUGUCGUGAGAUGUUGGGUUAAGUCCCGCAACGAGCGCAACCCUCGUCCUAUGUUGCCAGCACGUAAUGGUGGGAACUCAUGGGAUACUGCCGGGGUCAACUCGGAGGAAGGUGGGGAUGACGUCAAAUCAUCAUGCCCCUUAUGUCUUGGGCUUCACGCAUGCUACAAUGGCCGGUACAGAGGGCUGCAAUACCGCAAGGUGGAGCGAAUCCCAGAAAGCUGUUCGUAGUCCGGAUUGGAGUCUGCAACUCGACUCCAUG
RNAcentral lists this ribosomal RNA (403 nucleotides) under uncultured bacterium. RNAcentral describes it as "bacterial SSU rRNA". It matches the Rfam family "Bacterial small subunit ribosomal RNA", at positions 917 to 1322 of the family's 1533-position model. The record is from RNAcentral.